GGGCUCGUAGCUCAGCUAGGUAGAGCAUCUGACUUUUAAUCAGGUGGUCCGGGGUUCGAAUCCCCGCGAGCCCG
RNAcentral lists this transfer RNA (74 nucleotides) under Candidatus Methanomassiliicoccus intestinalis Issoire-Mx1. Its description in RNAcentral is "tRNA-Lys (TTT) (tRNA-Lys-TTT-1-1)". It matches the Rfam family "tRNA". Rfam says of the family: Transfer RNA (tRNA) molecules are approximately 80 nucleotides in length. Their secondary structure includes four short double-helical elements and three loops (D, anti-codon, and T loops). RNAcentral also lists the same sequence under 1 other name. The record is from RNAcentral. Lineage: Archaea; Methanobacteriati; Thermoplasmatota; Thermoplasmata; Methanomassiliicoccales; Methanomassiliicoccaceae.